This is a long non-coding RNA of Rosa chinensis, 487 nucleotides long. RefSeq lists it as uncharacterized. The record is from RefSeq and is a predicted model, not a curated record. The transcript is spliced from 3 exons. Lineage: Eukaryota; Viridiplantae; Streptophyta; Magnoliopsida; Rosales; Rosaceae.
UAUGGCUAAACCUGAAUCCAUACCACCUAACAUAAGAGAAAGUACAAGGUUCUAUCCUUACUUUAAGGAUUGUGUCGGAGCUAUAGAUGGCACGCAUAUUCCUGCAACGGUAGUUGGACGUGAGGUAAGCAGAUAUCGAAAUCGCCAUGGGAAGAUAUCACAAAAUGUAUUAGCAGCUUGUAACUUUGAUUUACAGUUCAUAUAUGUGAUUAGUGGAUGGGAGGGUUCCGCUCAUGAUUCAAAAGUGUUGAAUGAUGCGAUUUCUAGACGAAAUGGACUCAAAGUGCCACCAGGUAAAUAUUACUUAGGGGACUGCGGAUUCCCAAAUCGACGUCGGUUCCUAGCUCCAUUUCGAGGUACUCGAUAUCACCUCAAAGAUUUUGGUGGUGAAGGAAAUCAUCCUGUCAAUGCAAUUGAGUUAUUCAAUCUUCGCCAUGCUUCCUUGAGGAACGUAAUUGAGAGAAUAUUUGGAAUAUUUAAGUCGCGU